GACGAACGCUGGCGGCGUGCUUAACACAUGCAAGUCGAACGGUAAGGCCCCUUCGGGGGUACACGAGUGGCGAACGGGUGAGUAACACGUGGGUGAUCUGCCCUGCACUUCGGGAUAAGCCUGGGAAACUGGGUCUAAUACCGGAUAGGACCACGCUCUGCAUGGAGUGUGGUGGAAAGCUUUUGCGGUGUGGGAUGGGCCCGCGGCCUAUCAGCUUGUUGGUGGGGUGAUGGCCUACCAAGGCGACGACGGGUAGCCGGCCUGAGAGGGUGUCCGGCCAACGGGGGACUGGGACAAGGCCGAGACCCCGAGGGGGGGGGGGGGGGGGAAAUAUUGCACAAGGGGCGAAAGCCGGAGGCAGGGACGCCGGGGGGGGGAGGAGGGCCUUGGGGUUGAAACCCUUUUUAAGUACCAACGAAGCGAAAGGGAGGGGGGGAACAGAAGAAGCCCCGGCCAACUAAGG
Molecule: ribosomal RNA, 463 nt
Filed under: uncultured bacterium
Lineage: Bacteria
Description: partial 16S ribosomal RNA
Rfam family: Bacterial small subunit ribosomal RNA
Source: RNAcentral